This 429-nucleotide ribosomal RNA is filed under the name uncultured archaeon. RNAcentral's name for it is "bacterial SSU rRNA". It matches the Rfam family "Archaeal small subunit ribosomal RNA", at positions 455 to 886 of the family's 1478-position model. The record is from RNAcentral.
GUGCCAGCCGCCGCGGUAACACCGGCAGCCCAAGUGGUAGCCACGAUUAUUGGGUCUAAAGCGUCCGUAGCCGGCCAGGUAAGUUCUUUGGGAAAUUUAACCGCUCAACGGUUAAGCUUUCAGGGAAUACUGCUUGGCUUGGGACCGGGAGAGGUCAGAGGUACUUCAAGGGUAGGGGUGAAAUCCGUUAAUCCUUGAGGGACCACCAGUAGCGAAGGCGUCUGACCAGACCGGGUCCGACGGUGAGGGACGAAGGCUAGGGUCGCGAACCGGAUUAGAUACCCGGGUAGUCCUAGCUGUAAACGAUGCGGGCCAGGUGUUGGCAUUACUGCGAGUGAUGUCAGUGCCGAAGGGAAGCCGUUAAGCCCGCCAUCUGGGGAGUACGGUCGCAAGGCUGAAACUAAAGGAAUGGCGGGGAGCACCACAACG